AAGCGGUGGAGCAUGUGGUUAAUUCGAAGCAACGCGAAGAACCUUACCAGGGCUUGACAUCCCUUGAAUCGGGAGGAAACUUCCGAGUCCUUCGGGACAAGGAGACAGGUGGUGCAUGGUUGUCGUCAGCUCGUGUCGUGAGAUGUUGGGUUAAGUCCCGCAACGAGCGCAACCCUUGCUGUUAGUUGCCAGCGCGUAGAGGCGGGCACUCUAAUGGGACUGCCGGCGACAAGUCGGAGGAAGGUGGGGACGACGUCAAAUCAUCAUGCCCCUUAUGUUCUGGGCUACACACGUACUACAAUGACUGCAACAGAGGGAAGCGAGACCGCAAGGUGGAGCCGAUCCCCAAAAACAGUCCCAGUUCGGAUUGCGGGCUGCAACUCGCCCGCAUGAAGUCGGAAUUGCUAGUAAUGGCAGGUCAGCAUACUGCCGUGAAUACGUUCCCGGGCCUU
This 452-nucleotide ribosomal RNA is filed under the name uncultured Oscillospiraceae bacterium. Its description in RNAcentral is "bacterial SSU rRNA". It matches the Rfam family "Bacterial small subunit ribosomal RNA", at positions 927 to 1382 of the family's 1533-position model. The record is from RNAcentral. Lineage: Bacteria; Bacillati; Bacillota; Clostridia; Eubacteriales; Oscillospiraceae.